RNAcentral lists this ribosomal RNA (253 nucleotides) under uncultured bacterium. Its description in RNAcentral is "partial 16S ribosomal RNA". It matches the Rfam family "Bacterial small subunit ribosomal RNA", at positions 524 to 776 of the family's 1533-position model. The record is from RNAcentral.
UACAGAGGGGGCAAGCGUUGUCCGGAAUUAUUGGGCGUAAAGAGCUCGUAGGCGGUUUGUCGCGUCUGCUGUGAAAACUCGGGGCUUAACCCCGGGCCUGCAGUGGGUACGGGCAGACUAGAGUGCGGUAGGGGAGACUGGAAUUCCUGGUGUAGCGGUGAAAUGCGCAGAUAUCAGGAGGAACACCGGUGGCGAAGGCGGGUCUCUGGGCCGUAACUGACGCUGAGGAGCGAAAGCAUGGGGAGCGAACAGG